GCCUGGCUAGCUCGGUAAGUAGAGCUUGAGACUCUUGAUCACAGGGCUGUAGGUUCAAGCCCCAUAUUGGGCA
RNAcentral lists this transfer RNA (73 nucleotides) under Canis lupus familiaris (dog). It matches the Rfam family "tRNA". Rfam says of the family: Transfer RNA (tRNA) molecules are approximately 80 nucleotides in length. Their secondary structure includes four short double-helical elements and three loops (D, anti-codon, and T loops). Lineage: Eukaryota; Metazoa; Chordata; Mammalia; Carnivora; Canidae. The record is from Rfam by way of RNAcentral. RNAcentral also lists the same sequence under 2 other names.